Molecule: long non-coding RNA, 3385 nt
Organism: Cuculus canorus (common cuckoo)
Lineage: Eukaryota; Metazoa; Chordata; Aves; Cuculiformes; Cuculidae
Exons: 5
Source: RefSeq, a predicted model, not a curated record
UAAUUUGAAGGCAUUUUUUCAUAGUGCAUUGGAAAUCACAAAAGACUCGUUGAACUCAACAGGAUCCUUACUCCCAGUUAACCUGCCUUACAGUCUGAUGGCUGUGGCUGUUCUGAUACAUUUUGGUAUUUUCUCAGUGGCAUCGGUAUAUUCAGUGGAGAAAAUCAGCAAAUACUGUGAGGUGAAAAGGGCUUCCUUUUAGAGACACCUCAUUUUUAGCACAACAGUCAUCCUAGGACUCUCUCUCUCUUUUUCUCCCACUACUAUUAUAUGGACUGUAAGAACAGGGAGGUGAGAUCUGGAGGCAGAGAAGAUGAAAAAAACGAUUGCAUCUCUUUCCUGGGACUGAUCUUCUGCUUAGUGACAAGCUAUCACAGUUGCUCCUUAGUGAUGCCACUCCCAGCUGCAAAAGGAAGAAGGCAGAAGAGGAUCAAGCAUACUUCUGCCCCAGGACCCUGCAAUAGCACAAGAUGUCUUGUAACUCCCAGAACGUUGUACAAAAAUGCUUCAUGCUGUUGAGAGCAGCAGAGGUGAAAUGGUCCUGGCUGGUCUGAUCUCUGGGACUGAAAUUUCCCUACCAAAUCCAAACCUGGCAGUGAGGGCAUGAGUAGGAGAUGAUAAAUUGCUGUGAGAAGAAAUGAGAUCUUAUUCACAUCUACCGUGGAGUCACCAGAAUCCAUUUGCAUAAAAAAUGAAUCUAACCCACAUGUCUCAGAUGCCAUCUGAGCCAGGCCUUGAGAUUAGGAAGUUUUCUUCAUCAUAAAGCCCGAGAGCGCUCCACACUGCAUGAGACAGUCCUGAAUCUUCAUGUAAAUUUAUUUUUUAGGAUGUGUAAAUAUUUUGGUCUUCAAACUCCAAGGCUUUAAUUCCAUGUUUUAUGCAUCCACUACUGAUGCAGAAAGAGCGUUGUAACUAGUUUCUAACUUAUAUCUAAAGUAGAAAUUUAAAUACUGUAUGGGGAAUUCCAUUUCGGGUUUGGGUUUUUCACUUAUAAAUGCAUUCCAGUAAUUCAGUCUGUAAUGUUUUGAUUAUAGUUGUUGUUUUCUUAAUACUAGUAAGCAUGUGAAAUUAACUGUUGCUUUUCUAUGUUGUUUAGACACGCUCGUGAACAGCCUCCUCCACAUCCUCACAAAAUGCAUCCGAGUUAUGGUCCUGGGCAUCACAUUCAUGUGCUCAGACAAUGUCUUUCCAUCCUCAACUAGUUCUGGUGAGAUCCUCUUGGUUAGUGGUCUUGGAUUUUUUUGCAGUUCUUGAUCACAAAUGUAUAUUUCUCACAUUACUAACCGCAAACUCAGGUGUUAGAACAACCUGAGCCAUCUUUGAGCAGUUUCUCAUCAGUGGCAUAAAGUAUUUAAGAGCAUUUUGCUGCUCUUUCUGUUUUUACAGACUUUAUCUUUUGUAUUUUCAUGAAAGCUUCAUCUCAUAUUCAGAGUAAUACCUCCUACUGAAACCAAUGAAUGCUUUCAUUGUCAGUAAGGCAGACCCACAGAGGAGCUUAACUAGUAAUACAAGUUUUCUUUUUGGCUGGUUUUGUGAUUCAUGUUUCUGUAUGUUCGUACUUAGAAGGAAGACUUGCUAAUGUGAUUUUAUGUGAGCUACCCAGUUUGAUGGGGAGCCCCUAGAGCUCUUUCCUGUGCCCAGCUUUAUUGCAGUACUUUUAAAUCUAUUGGACUGCCUCCAUUAGAAAAGUCACGUCUGACUUUGUGUCCAAAGACUCAUAUUUGUUUAUUAAAAUGUUGCACUCAAGUCGAUAUUCUGUAAGCAUAGCAACCCAGUCAGGAUUUGCCUGUAACCUAUUGGCAUUAUGUUCAAUAGCAUGAUCCUGACAACAGAUUUAUUGCAACAUUAACACUAUGUCAGGUAACAUCCUUCCUUUAGGUCAAAUUCUGAUCCAUUUUACUGCAAUUAAAUCAUGUAGUUUAAAGGGCAAAAUUUGCCCUUAGAAAAGUGUAUUUCACUCUGUUGGUCCCUUAUGCUUUUUUCUUAAGGCUAAACAGAGUUUGCACAGAUACUUUCUUUCCAAUUCACCAGUCUUACUUCCCAUGUUGGCUAUUCUAUUUAACCUUGAAUAGAUGCGCCAAACUGCUCCCAACAUAGUGGGGUUUCUAUACUUCGUAGGAGGAAGCCCCAGAUGCUUCUUCCAUUGUAUGACAACUACACAACUCCAUAACUAUACUUGACUCUGUUUGGUCAAGAUGAAUGGCAUCUUAAAAAAUUCCAUCCUGUACUGUAAUCAUUAUAAACACGUGGACAGCCCCUUCUUUACCUUUUUUAGUCAUGACUUUUGCCCUUUUUUCUUGAUUGAUAAGUGACAGCUUUGCAUUCUGGACCUUGAGAUAUAUAUUUACAGUAGUCUAAGAAAUUUGUCCUUAAUCAAAGGAGGCUUGACUUGCCAGAACAUCUUUAGAAUAUUAUUGAGUAACUCAUUAAAAUGUUAAUAGCUUCUGUCAGGAUUUAUUGAUCCUGAUGUCAGCUUUUCUCAGAAUAAGAAAUAAAGCUGAUUUUUAUCUUGGCUUUGGACCAUGCUGAGUGAUCAGUAUUUAAACAGAAUAAUGAGAAGUGCUUGAGUAGACUAAUUGGCAUCUAGCACAUGUAUCAGUUCUGAAUACAGACAAAGCUCUCCAGAUAUAUGAGUGUAUUUUGUUGUGGUGUGUGAAAUAAUAUGUAAUAUAAAGGAAAUUAAGAAGACACUUUAUUUGGAUUAUUUUGACAAUUUUUUCUGCUGAAGUAAAUAGAGGCAAUACAAUCACAUCAAAUAUUGUCUCUUGGAUAAAAUAGAGUCUUUUUUAAAUAGCUUAGUAAAAUAAAAGUAUGUGUCCUUGUUGUUCAUUGCAUCCUAAGUUAUACAAGUUAAAUAAUGAUCAAAAACUAUUCUAAUUAAUUUCUUUAGGACAAACACUUGAUACAGACUAUUUUCUAUUGUUGUCACAUUAUUUUGGUUAUAUGUGGAACUGAACAAAAGACUGACUGACAAGUGAAGGAGAGGGAGAGAAGGGAAUUUGUUUUUCAAAGGCAGCUGCUAAUCUCAGAAUCUUUCCCACCAUGAGCAAUGUUGUCCAACAAGAGUAAAACAACAAAUCCCGUCCUGACUCUAGCAGAGGCAGGAUUGUCAAGUGUUAAGAUGAAUGAAAGAAAUAAGAAAGAAGAAUCUGUCUUUUAUACCUUGCAUUAAAAUGAUUGAGUCAACCUUCAUAAGGACACUUGAGUACAUCACAAGUAUCUUACCUCAUGUUCAGUACUUUUAACAGAUGGAUAUAAUGUUGUGAUACUUUGCUAAUCCAAAAGGACCCUGAAGACAGUAUAUAGAAAUCUGUCCCUUAAAGAUUUAUUUAAGUAUCAACCUACAAGGCAAUUCCCUCUGAGCCUGGCAUGUAAGCACCUCUGU